RNAcentral lists this long non-coding RNA (1186 nucleotides) under Gouania willdenowi (blunt-snouted clingfish). RNAcentral's name for it is "lncRNA (ENSGWIG00000014214.1)". The record is from RNAcentral. Lineage: Eukaryota; Metazoa; Chordata; Actinopteri; Blenniiformes; Gobiesocidae.
UGGAGCGUUUCUGCUCUGCUGAAUGGGACAUCUGGUCUGGAGCAAGCAGAAGCACAACUGAGUUCAUGCUGGAACUAGUACAUUAUGUUCCCAUUGGAGGCCAGCAGCAUAGAUGCUGAGUUGUUCAUAACGUCUUUAGAAGAAGACCUUGAGCUCACAGCUAGAGGCCAGAUGAAGAGGGACUGUACACUAGUACAGCCAAGCCAGUGAGAACCCAACAACAACAGAGACACGAGUCCAGAUGCCAAGUUUCCCUCUUUGUUCUGUUUCUUCCACACUGUUUCUUUCUGUUUUUAUGCAUAUGAAGCCAGGAUUCUAUCUUUAUUCAAAGUGUUUCUCUUAAAGCUGCUUAACAACAUUUUAAAAAAUGUACCGGUACCUUUGUAUUAUCAAAAAAGUCUUUCUCAUAUUCACAAACAGAUGUUGAAGAUAGAAAUUGCAGUUUAAAUCUUUGUUGGUUGACAAACGGUCAUCUGAAUUAAACCCCAAAUGUUUUGCGCAUUGCAUUGUGGGAUUGGGAGUCCAAUAGAAAAAUGCAAAGAUGGUGCUGAAGCAGAAGUUUCUUAAAGAAGAGUUGGUAACACUUUACUUGAAGUUUUAUACAUAAGGUGUCAUGAAGGCUGUCAAUAAGUGUCAUUUGUGACCCUAACCCUAACUCUUCGUUAUCCUAACCCCUAAUUCUACCUACCUUAUCUCUAUCCCUACCCUACCCAACCCUAACCCCCAACCCUGACCCUAACCAAAGGUCUCCAACCUUUAUCAGUCAAAGAGCCAUUUGGACACGUUUCCAACAGAAAAAAAGCAUUAGGAGCCACAAACUGUUCUGACAUUUAAAAUGAAGAUAGGACUGCAUACAAUUAUUAUUAUUUUUUUACCUUUAUGCUGUAUAUAAACAAAUAAUAGUGUGUUGCAUUUAUUAAAUCAGUUAACUGUUACAGAGAAAACAGUUACAUCUUAUAUGUGACAAAAAUAUCUUGAACUCUGCAAAAAAAAAGACUCCUUGUUGUGUUUAAGAACAAACAGCUGAACUUUGGUUUUAUGGUCACUUGGCAAAAAUGUGUGGGUUCGAACCCUGCAGGGGAGUUUUCUUGAAAAUACCUACACCUACUCUAGCUUGAGUAUAAAAAAGUAAUCAAAGCUCCUUCAUGGGUUAUGGCCAGGGUAAUCCCCAAAAGGUGAAUCAGUG